AUCAACUUUCGAUGGUAGGAUAGAGGCCUACCAUGGUGGUAACGGGUAACGGGGUGUUAGGGCACGACACCGGAGAGGGAGCCUGAGAAACGGCUACCACAUCCAAGGAUGGCAGCAGGCGCGCAAAUUACCCAAUCCCGACACGGGGAGGUAGUGACAAUAAAUAACAAUACGGGGUUCUUUCGGAUUUCGUAAUUGGAAUGAGUACAAUUUAAAUCUCUUAACGAGGAACAAUUGGAGGGCAAGUCUGGUGCCAGCAGCCGCGGUAAUUCCAGCUCCAAUAGCGUAUAUUAAAGUUGUUGCAGUUAAAAAGCUCGUAGUUGAAUUUCGGGGUCAGUAGAUUGGUCGUGCCACUGGUAUGCACUGGUCUCACUGGCUCCUCCUUCCUGAUGAACCGUAAUGCCAUUAAUUUGGUGUUGCGGGGAGACUGGACUGUUACUUUGAAAAAAUUAGAGUGUUUAAAGCAGGCUAACGCUUGAAUACAUUAGCAUGGAAUAAUGAAAUAGGACGUUCGAUCUUAUUUUGUUGGUUUCUAAGAUUGACGUAAUGAUUAAUAGGGAUAGUUGGGGGCAUUAGUAUUCAAUUGUCAGAGGUGAAAUUCUUGGAUUUAUUGAAGACUAACUACUGCGAAAGCAUUUGCCAAGGAUGUUUUCAUUAAUCAAGAACGAAAGUUAGGGGAUCGAAGACGAUCAGAUACCGUCGUAGUCUUAACCAUAAACUAUGCCGACUAGGGAUCGGAUGAUGUUAAAUUUUUAAUAAAUCAUUCGGCGCCUUACGGGAAACCAAAGUGUUUGGGUUC
Molecule: ribosomal RNA, 799 nt
Filed under: uncultured Glomeromycotina
Lineage: Eukaryota; Fungi; Glomeromycota
Description: SSU rRNA
Rfam family: Eukaryotic small subunit ribosomal RNA
Source: RNAcentral